This 494-nucleotide ribosomal RNA is filed under the name Didymella macrostoma. Its description in RNAcentral is "eukaryotic LSU rRNA". The stretch from base 165 to 318 matches the Rfam family "5.8S ribosomal RNA". The record is from RNAcentral. Lineage: Eukaryota; Fungi; Ascomycota; Dothideomycetes; Pleosporales; Didymellaceae.
AGGUGAACCUGCGGAAGGAUCAUUACCUAGAGUUGUAGGCUUUGCCUGCUAUCUCUUACCCAUGUCUUUUGAGUACCUUCGUUUCCUCGGCGGGUUCGCCCGCCGAUUGGACAAUUUAAACCAUUUGCAGUUGCAAUCAGCGUCUGAAAAAACAUAAUAGUUACAACUUUCAACAACGGAUCUCUUGGUUCUGGCAUCGAUGAAGAACGCAGCGAAAUGCGAUAAGUAGUGUGAAUUGCAGAAUUCAGUGAAUCAUCGAAUCUUUGAACGCACAUUGCGCCCCUUGGUAUUCCAUGGGGCAUGCCUGUUCGAGCGUCAUUUGUACCUUCAAGCUCUGCUUGGUGUUGGGUGUUUGUCUCGCCUCUGCGUGUAGACUCGCCUCAAAACAAUUGGCAGCCGGCGUAUUGAUUUCGGAGCGCAGUACAUCUCGCGCUUUGCACUCAGAACGACGACGUCCAAAAGUACAUUUUUACACUCUUGACCUCGGAUCAGGU